GCACUGCUGAAGAGUCCCACAAUAAGGCGAAACGGCUGUCCAGUGC
RNAcentral lists this non-coding RNA (46 nucleotides) under Schistosoma mansoni. Lineage: Eukaryota; Metazoa; Platyhelminthes; Trematoda; Strigeidida; Schistosomatidae. The record is from RNAcentral.